UCCUACGGGAGGCAGCAGCUAAGAAUAUUCCGCAAUGGACGAAAGUCUGACGGAGCGACGCCGCGUGGAUGAUGAAGGCCGGAAGGUUGUAAAAUCCUUUUAUGACUGAGGAAUAAGUGAAGUGAGGGAAACGCUUCAUGGUGACUGUAGGUCAUGAAUAAGCAACGGCUAAUUACGUGCCAGCAGCCGCGGUAAUA
Molecule: ribosomal RNA, 197 nt
Filed under: uncultured bacterium
Lineage: Bacteria
Description: partial 16S ribosomal RNA
Rfam family: Bacterial small subunit ribosomal RNA
Source: RNAcentral